CCUACGGGUGGCAGCAGUGAGGAAUAUUGGUCAAUGGGCGCGAGCCUGAACCAGCCAAGCCGCGUGAAGGAUGACUGCCCUACGGGUUGUAAACUUCUUUUAUAAAGGAAUAAAGUGAGGUACGUGUGCCUUUUUGUAUGUAUUUUAUGAAUAAGGAUCGGCUAACUCCGGGCCAGCAGCCGCGGUAAUACGGAGGAUCCGAGCGUUAUCCGGAUUUAUUGGGUUUAAAGGGAGCGUAGGUGGAUUGUGAAGUCAGUUGUGAAAGUUUGGGGCUCAACCGUAAAAUUGCAGUUGAAACUGGCAGUCUUGAGUACAGUAGGGGUGGGCGGAAUUCGUGGUGUAGCGGUGAAAUGCUUAGAUAUCACGAAGAACUCCGAUUGCGAAGGCAGCUCACUGGACUGCAACUGACACUGAUGCUCGAAAGUGUGGGUAUCAAACAGGAUUAGAUACCCGGGUAGUC
RNAcentral lists this ribosomal RNA (460 nucleotides) under uncultured bacterium. Its description in RNAcentral is "partial 16S ribosomal RNA". It matches the Rfam family "Bacterial small subunit ribosomal RNA", at positions 338 to 795 of the family's 1533-position model. The record is from RNAcentral.